Molecule: long non-coding RNA, 2892 nt
Organism: Nerophis ophidion (straightnose pipefish)
Lineage: Eukaryota; Metazoa; Chordata; Actinopteri; Syngnathiformes; Syngnathidae
Exons: 2
Source: RefSeq, a predicted model, not a curated record
AAGGGUGGUGGUGGUAGUGGUGGUGGUGGAGAAGGAGGGUUGCGUAAUGGAAGACGAGCUUGGGUAGAGCGAGGGGGUGAAGACUGGAUGAGGAGGAGGCGUGUUGUCGUGGUGGUGGUGAUGGUGCGCGUUCUCCCUCCUCUCUUGGUUCUUGCUGCCCCGAGGCCGCCCUGGACCGUGGCGACUCUUUUUGUUGCCGCGGUGCCGUCUCUCUCGCGUCAGAGUUGCGGGGCUGCUUUUGCCCUCUUGGUCCGCCUCUUCCGGAAUGGGCGGCGUGCUCAGCUGAGAGAGCUUGCACAGAGACUUCGAGGGUUUGUAGUCGACCGUGGAGAGCUUGCGGAUCUUACUGCUGCUACCCAGCGCGGAUGUGGAGGUGAUGCGCAUGAUGGAUCCAAAAGUUGAAAUUGUGACCUUGUUCUCAAAGGGGCUCGAGGUCCCAUCCGACUGAUCGUGACCCUGCAACCUCGCGAGUUGGCCUUCAGUGGGAGUCAAUGCUGGCGGCUUGUGCCUCCUCCUGGACCGCGAGCCUCCUGUGACGCGCUUUGCGAUCCUCGCUACUAUGGUCACGCUCCAGACGGGGGGAGGAGAACUGAUGAAAAUCUGUAGCUGUAGACAAGAAUCCACCUUCAUGAGAAACACAAAGCCAAAAAGCACACCUAAUUGUUGCGCAGAUACCUGCAUUAAAUGGACUGGACGAGCAGGAAGAGGAGGAGCAGCUCUUGCCGCUGCUUACGGUUUUCUUACUGCGAUGACUGUGUAAGCUGAGCUUCUUGGACUUUCCCUCACUGUCUUUGGGGCUGUGAUGACUAGAAGAGAGCUAACCCAGCACACAUACAUACAAACACAAAGUUAGUUAGUUAGACCUCUCACAAAUAGGCUAAAAUACCAACAACAGUGAAGUGGAAGUUCUUGCCAAAAAAAAUUAUAUUGUAUCCUUGCUGUGUAGUUAAGCAAGUUUUAAGAGCAUGUUUCCUAUUUUCCAUGUGAUCUUUCUUCAUCAUUUCCAGUGAUUUCCAUGCAUUUAUCUGCAGUGGGCCGCCACAAAUAUAUUUGGCGGUAUUCGGUAAGUUUUGGAUGGCAAUGACUGGAAAUUUGCAGUGAUACAAAUACAUGAUAGCACAUCUUGUUCAAAGCUUAAUCUAAUACAGUUUAAGGUUGUCCAUCACAUAUAUUUUACUUACGCUAGACCAGGGGUCUCAGACAAGAGGCCCAAUUGCGGCCCGCGAGCCGUAAUUUUGCGGCCCGAACCUUAAUAUGAAAGUUUAAUAUUAGUGCGACCGGCGAGUUUUAUAUGAAUGGCACUUGACAGCCUUGUGUUAUUUGGGUCCACAAUGGCUCUUUCAACGUUCUGGGUUGCCUACCUCUGCGUUAGUGGAAAAGCGGCAAAUGAGUGAAAGCGACAGAGACGUUGCCACGGAGAGGAGAGUUUUCCUACGUGCCUGGCUGCAGUCACACCGCGACACCUGUCCAUCAGUAAUAAUAGUCCCUGAUAACCUGAACCAAUUCAAACCGUUUUUUUUUUUUAAUUAUUGUUUAAUUUGCAUUGCCUCACACGAUGAACAUUACAUAUAUUUCUAUAUGACAACGGAUAACACUCGGGACCCGUCACUUUUUUGCGCUCGCUAUCCCGGUACUUUCCUGGCUAUUAUCCGCGGACCGCCGCAUUGCUGUAGGGAGGAAAAGCGGAACGACAAACAUUGCGGAAAUAACAUUAUUCUCUGUGCGUCGGCUAAAUACAAAUAUAUUCCACAACCCCAAACAUGUCUUUUUCAAAGCUGUAGUGUAGAGAAAGGUUAGUUAUGAACAAAGACAAUUCCAGGAAAAGUGGGAGAUGCAAUAUUUCCGACGUGUCUUAUUUGCACAGAGAAAGUUGCGGUUCUCAAGGGAUACAUUUUGAAAGGUCAUUAUACAACUAGAAAUGCUGAGGAGUAUGCACAAUGUUUUUUAAGAAAUAUUUUCUUGCGGCCGAGCCUCACCCAGACUCUGCAUCCAGUGGCCCCCAGGUAAAUUGAGUUUGAGACCCCUGCGCUAGACUUUCCGAAAUGUAUGCCAAUAUUGCAGAUACAUGUAAUCCGAUGUCAAUAGACUUCUGCCAACAUGACACACGUUCUGGUCAUGUACCUGUAAUUGCACGCACAGGGGUGCUUUAAUUAGAGAUGUCCUGCCGAUAUUAUCGGCGGAUAAAUGCUUUAAAAUGUAACAUCGGAAAUCAUUGGUAUCGGUUUCAAAAAGUAAAAUAUAUGACUUUUUAAAACGCCGCUGUACGGAGUGGUACAGGGACGUGGGGAGAAUUACAAAGCAGUUACAUCUCCCAGUCAUACUUGCCAAAACUCCCGAUUUUCCCGGGAGACUCACGAAUUUCAGAAUCUCCCGGGGCAACCAUUCUCCUGAAUUUCUCCCGAUUUCCACCCUGACAACAAUAUUGGGGGCGUGCCGUAAAGGCACUGCAUUUGCGUGGCGGCCUAAUCACAAUAUCUACGGCUCUUCACACACACAAGUGAAUGCACACUUGAUCAACAGCCACACAGGUCACACUGAGGGUGGCCGUAUAAACAACUUUAACACUGUUACAAAUAUGCGCCACACUGUGAACCCAAACCAAACAAGAAUGACAAACACGUUUCGGGAGAACAUCCGCACCGUAACACAACAUAAACACAACAGAACAAAUACCCAGAACCCCUUGCAGCAUUAACUUUUCCGGUACGCUACAAUAUAUACCCACUGCUAUCCCCCCACCACAACCCUGACCACCUCAACCUCCUCAUGCUCUCUCAGGGAGAGCAUGUCCAAAAUUCCAAGCUGCUGUUUUGAGGCAUGUUAAAAAAAAUAAUGCACUUUGUGACUUCAAUAAUAAAUAUGGCAGUGCCAUGUUGGCAUUUUUUUCCAUAA